RNAcentral lists this ribosomal RNA (441 nucleotides) under Listeria monocytogenes. RNAcentral's name for it is "partial 23S ribosomal RNA". It matches the Rfam family "Bacterial large subunit ribosomal RNA", at positions 194 to 632 of the family's 2925-position model. Lineage: Bacteria; Bacillati; Bacillota; Bacilli; Caryophanales; Listeriaceae. The record is from RNAcentral.
UGAAACAUCUAAGUACCUGGAGGAAGAGAAAGAAAAAUCGAUUUCCUGAGUAGCGGCGAGCGAAACGGAAAGAGCCCAAACCAAGAAGCUUGCUUCUUGGGGUUGUAGGACACUCUAUACGGAGUUACAAAAGAAAGUUAUAAAUGAAGCGGUCUGGAAAGGCCCGCCAAAGACGGUAACAGCCCGGUAGUUGAAAUGGCUUUCCCUCCAGAGUGGAUCCUGAGUACGGCGGAACACGUGAAAUUCCGUCGGAAUCCGGGAGGACCAUCUCCCAAGGCUAAAUACUCCCUAGUGACCGAUAGUGAACCAGUACCGUGAGGGAAAGGUGAAAAGCACCCCGGAAGGGGAGUGAAACAGUUCCUGAAACCGUGUGCCUACAAGUAGUUAGAGCCCGUUAAUGGGUGAUAGCGUGCCUUUUGUAGAAUGAACCGGCGAGUUACG